RNAcentral lists this microRNA (21 nucleotides) under Salicornia europaea (common glasswort). RNAcentral describes it as "seu-miR11024". The record is from miRBase by way of RNAcentral. Lineage: Eukaryota; Viridiplantae; Streptophyta; Magnoliopsida; Caryophyllales; Amaranthaceae.
UAAUAAUUGCAACACUUUGAC